This 71-nucleotide transfer RNA is filed under the name Coemansia erecta. Its description in RNAcentral is "tRNA-Gly". It matches the Rfam family "tRNA". From Rfam's summary of the family: Transfer RNA (tRNA) molecules are approximately 80 nucleotides in length. Their secondary structure includes four short double-helical elements and three loops (D, anti-codon, and T loops). Lineage: Eukaryota; Fungi; Kickxellomycota; Kickxellomycetes; Kickxellales; Kickxellaceae. The record is from RNAcentral. RNAcentral also lists the same sequence under 54 other names.
GCAACGGUGGUGUAGAGGUAUCAUUGUCGCCUGCCACGCGGCAGACCCGGGUUCGAUUCCCGGCCGUUGCA